RNAcentral lists this ribosomal RNA (148 nucleotides) under uncultured bacterium. RNAcentral's name for it is "partial 16S ribosomal RNA". It matches the Rfam family "Bacterial small subunit ribosomal RNA", at positions 355 to 499 of the family's 1533-position model. The record is from RNAcentral.
UGAGGAAUAUUGGUCAAUGGGCGAGAGCCUGAACCAGCCAAGUAGCGUGCAGGAUGACGGCCCUAUGGGUUGUAAACUGCUUUUUUAGGGGAAUAAAGUUAGCCACGUGUGCUCUUUUUGCAUGUACCUCAUGAAAAGGCAGCGGCUA